RNAcentral lists this long non-coding RNA (274 nucleotides) under Lathyrus oleraceus (garden pea). Its description in RNAcentral is "Pisum sativum (pea) long non-coding RNA (PSAT_LNC039342)". Lineage: Eukaryota; Viridiplantae; Streptophyta; Magnoliopsida; Fabales; Fabaceae. The record is from RNAcentral.
UUCUUCCAAUCUUGAGCCUGCAGUUCUUAUAUCGAAUCUUGAACCCCUAUCCUUUCGACAAUCCUAAUUUCACGUGCUUCCAAUGAACCAACUAAAUUUUCCAGUUUCAUGGUUUAAAUAUUGUUAUAUUCUUGAAUAUCUACGAUAAUGUGAUCAAAGUAAGAGGUCAAUGUACGCAUUACCUUUUCAACUAUCAUCUUAUCGGUUAGGGUUACCAUAAUCCUUCAUGAGAUAGACGAGAUUCUGCACCUUCGGCACAUAACCUGUAAUCUUU